AUUGAACGCUGGCGGCAGGCCUAACACAUGCAAGUCGAACGGUAACAGGAAACAGCUUGCUGUUUCGCUGACGAGUGGCGGACGGGUGAGUAAUGUCUGGGACACUGCCUGAUGGAGGGGGAUAACUACUGGAAACGGUAGCUAAUACCGCAUAACGUCGCAAGACCAAAGAGGGGGACCUUCGGGCCGCUUGCCAUCGGAUGUGCCCAGAUGGGAUUAGCUUGUUGGUGGGGUAACGGCUCCCCAAGGCGACGAUCCCUAGCUGGUCUGAGAGGAUGAGCAGCCACACUGGAACUGAGACACGGUCCAGACUCCUACGGGAGGCAGCAGUUGGGAAUAUUGCACAAUGGGCGCAAGCCUGAUGCAGCCAUGCCGCGUGUAUGAAGAAGGCCUUCGGGUUGUAAAGUACUUUCAGCGGGGAGGAAGGGAGUAAAGUUAAUACCUUUACUCAUUGACGUUACCCGCAGAAGAAGCACCGGCUAACUCCGUGCCAGCCGCCGCGGUAA
This 506-nucleotide ribosomal RNA is filed under the name uncultured bacterium. RNAcentral's name for it is "partial 16S ribosomal RNA". It matches the Rfam family "Bacterial small subunit ribosomal RNA", at positions 30 to 523 of the family's 1533-position model. The record is from RNAcentral.